AUUGAACGCUGGCGGCAUGCUUUACACAUGCAAGUCGAACGGUAACAGGCCUUAGGGUGCUGACGAGUGGCGAACGGGUGAGUAAUGCAUCGGAACGUGCCCAGAGGUGGGGGAUAACGCAGCGAAAGCUGUGCUAAUACCGCAUGUGAUCUGAGGAUGAAAGCGGGGGACCAGGCAGCAAUGUUUGGCCUCGCGCCUUUGGAGCGGCCGAUGUCAGAUUAGGUAGUUGGUGGGGUAAAGGCCUACCAAGCCGACGAUCUGUAGCUGGUCUGAGAGGACGACCAGCCACACUGGGACUGAGACACGGCCCAGACUCCUACGGGAGGCAGCAGUGGGGAAUUUUGGACAAAGGGCGCAAGCCUGAUCCAGCAAUGCCGCGUGCGGGAAGAAGGCCUUCGGGUUGUAAACCGCUUUUGUACGGAACGAAAAGGCUCUGGCUAAUACCUGGGGCUGAUGACGGUACCGUAAGAAUAAGCACCGGCUAACUACGUG
This 492-nucleotide ribosomal RNA is filed under the name uncultured bacterium. RNAcentral describes it as "partial 16S ribosomal RNA". It matches the Rfam family "Bacterial small subunit ribosomal RNA", at positions 30 to 507 of the family's 1533-position model. The record is from RNAcentral.